GCGGAGGUUGCCAAGCCAGGCCAACGGCGCAGGGCUUAGGAACCUGAGACCGAAUCGCGAGUUCAAAUCUCGCCCUCCGCACCA
Molecule: transfer RNA, 84 nt
Filed under: Candidatus Thorarchaeota archaeon
Lineage: Archaea; Promethearchaeati; Candidatus Thorarchaeota
Description: tRNA-Leu
Rfam family: tRNA
About the family: Transfer RNA (tRNA) molecules are approximately 80 nucleotides in length. Their secondary structure includes four short double-helical elements and three loops (D, anti-codon, and T loops). Further hydrogen bonds mediate the characteristic L-shaped molecular structure. tRNAs have two regions of fundamental functional importance: the anti-codon, which is responsible for specific mRNA codon recognition, and the 3' end, to which the tRNAs corresponding amino acid is attached (by aminoacyl-tRNA synthetases). tRNAs cope with the degeneracy of the genetic code in two manners: having more than one tRNA (with a specific anti-codon) for a particular amino acid; and 'wobble' base-pairing, i.e. permitting non-standard base-pairing at the 3rd anti-codon position.
Source: RNAcentral